Non-coding RNA from Arachis ipaensis, 1762 nucleotides. The record is from RefSeq and is a predicted model, not a curated record. Lineage: Eukaryota; Viridiplantae; Streptophyta; Magnoliopsida; Fabales; Fabaceae.
GAAUUGGGCCUGGAAGCUUAAGGUCCUUGAGAAGAUGAAGUUCUUGGUUUGGUUAUUAUUCAAGUACUCUUCUUACCUUAGAACUAUGUUUUCGUCGGAACCAGACAAUUUUAGAUAUUUGUUAAUGUUGUAAUUUCUCACGGCGAAUCCACCAUGCAUUGUCUUAGGGACUGUACAUUAGCCAGUCAAGUUUGGCACUUGCUUGAUUUCUCAAGAUAUAAUUUCUUUCAUUUGCAGAAUCAUUGUGAGUGGAUUGCUACGAGCUAUAGUUUAGAUAAUGCUUGUACAUUUGUGGAGACUCUUUGGUGUAUUUGGAUGGCUCAAAAUGAGCAUGUUCUUAACAAUAAUCCUAGCUCUGCAACAAAUGUGAUGGCAAAUGUUGGUGGGUCCCCAACUAAGUGGAGUCCACAUAUUAUAAAACAAAAAGAAAAAUAAAAAUAAAUAAAGAAAAAGAGAAGUGGCCAAAUAGCCACGAAGAGAGAAUGGCAGGUAAGUCUUUCAUUUUUUGAAACAAAAGCAAACACAUAGAGAGGAGAGAGUUUUCAUCGGCGCCGAAGAAAAGAAGGAAUUUGGGGGAAAGGGCAAGCCAUCUUUGAUCCGAUUGAAACGGAAAGACUUGUAUGAUCCUGUGGAGGGGGAUAAAUCCAAAGGUACUAAAUCCGAUGCUGAAUGGAAGAUGCUAAAUCGGAAGGCAGUUACUUUGAUCAGGCAAUGGCUUGAUCUUAGCGUGUAUCCACAUGUUGACACUGAAACGAAUGCUGAGAAGAUGUGGAACAAAUUGAAGGAGUUAUAUGAGAGGAAGAAUGUGCAAAAUAAAGCAUUCUUGAUUAGGAAGCUGGUAAAUAUGAAGUAUAUUGAAGGAAAUAAGAAGAAAAAGAAGCAAAAAGCACAAAAUAAGCUAAAAAGGAGAAAAAAAAAUAGUUUUGGGGCACACUUUGAAGUUGGAGCACACUUUGGAGCCUUAGGUCACGCUUUUAAAAGCGUGGCCCAUGACCAAAUCAAGGAAGCUUGACAAUCAGCACGCAAAGCUCGGUUAAUGCCAAGAGCCUAGCUUUAUCGUGAUGCAAAUUCAGCUUGGAAGCAGGAAUUUUCGCUAAGUUAAACUUGGGCGCUCACAGCAUGACCAUGCCUCCUUCAAAGGGCCAUAACUUGGGCUAUAGAUGUCCAAUUGAUGUGUUUUCAGUUGCGUUGGAAAGCUGACAUUCAGAGCUUUCCAAUGAUAUAUGGAAAUUCAUAUUUGGCACAAAAUUGAGGUACAAGUGAAAGGCAUAUUUAAAGACCAAAAACAAGCAAAAAUGGGCACAAAUGCAUUCACCAAGAUUCGAAGAGGAAGACCAAGGGAAGCCCAUCAAAGUAGCGCUCACUUGGAGAGCUCAGUGCUCACUUAGAGAGCUUUGUCGUGCUCUCUUCAUGAAAAUGCAAGGAAAAUUGGUCACAAAAUGGCUCAGCAAGGAUUCGAACUUGGAGCUUCUUCACAAAGCAAAGGGAUGCUGCGCUCUUGGUGAGAGCUGAGCGCUACCCUGGUGAUGUUCAAAGCUUGUCAUGCACAUUGCAAGGCCAAAGCAAGGCUUGGAUGUUGCGCUCUCCCCAUGAACCGAGCCUUGUCCUAGGAGCAACACCCAUGGGCUAAAAAUUCAAUCAAAAUUCCAAAAUUAAUUCAAUUCUUUACUAAAUUGAAAGGCCAUCCGGAUCCAUUCUUCUUCAAAAUCCAAAGCAAGCUAAGCCCAUUAUCAUCACUCAAAGGCACAAGAGAUAGUUAAAA